RNAcentral lists this ribosomal RNA (253 nucleotides) under uncultured bacterium. RNAcentral describes it as "partial 16S ribosomal RNA". It matches the Rfam family "Bacterial small subunit ribosomal RNA", at positions 524 to 776 of the family's 1533-position model. The record is from RNAcentral.
UACGUAGGGUGCAAGCGUUAAUCGGAAUUACUGGUCGUAAAGCGUGCGCAGGCGGUUUUGUAAGUUUGUCGUGAAAGCCCCGGGCUCAACCUGGGAAUGGCGAUGAAGACUGCAAGGCUUGAAUCUGGCAGAGGGGGGUAGAAUUCCACGUGUAGCAGUGAAAUGCGUAGAGAUGUGGAGGAACACCGAUGGCGAAGGCAGCCCCCUGGGUCAAGAUUGACGCUCAUGCACGAAAGCGUGGGGAGCAAACAGG